This 513-nucleotide ribosomal RNA is filed under the name uncultured bacterium. RNAcentral describes it as "bacterial SSU rRNA". It matches the Rfam family "Bacterial small subunit ribosomal RNA", at positions 9 to 516 of the family's 1533-position model. The record is from RNAcentral.
GAGGUUGAUCCAGGCUCAGAUUGAACGCUGGCGGCAGGCUUAACACAAUCAAAUCGAGCGGGGAAGUAUAGCUUGCUAUAUGGCCUAGCGGCGGACGGGUGAGUAAUGCUUAGGAAUUUGCCUAUUAGUGGGGGACAACGUUUCGAAAGGAACGCUAAUACCGCAUACGUCCUACGGGAGAAAGCAGGGGAUUUUUGGACCCUGCGCUAAUAGAUGAGCCUAAGUCGGAUUAGCUAGUUGGUGGGGUAAAGGCCUACCAAGGCGACGAUCUGUAGCGGGUUUGAGAGGAUGAUCCGCCCCCCUGGGACUGAGACACGGCCCCGACUCCUACGGGAGGCAGCCGUGGGGAAUAUUGGACAAUGGGGGGAACCCUGAUCCAGCCCUGCCGCGUGUGUGAAGAAGGCCUUUUGGUUGUAAAGCCCUUUAAGCGAGGAGGAGGCUACUAGUAUUAAUACUACUGGAUAGUGGACGUUACAAGCAGAAUAAGCCCCGGCUAACUUUGUGCCCGCAGCC